This 503-nucleotide ribosomal RNA is filed under the name Pallenopsis vanhoeffeni. RNAcentral's name for it is "partial 16S ribosomal RNA". It matches the Rfam family "Archaeal large subunit ribosomal RNA", at positions 1906 to 2672 of the family's 2987-position model. The record is from RNAcentral. Lineage: Eukaryota; Metazoa; Arthropoda; Pycnogonida; Pantopoda; Pallenopsidae.
CAUGUCUUAUUGUUUAUAAUAAUAAGUUUGACCUGCCCACUGAUAUUAAUUAAAUGGCCGCAGUAUAUUAACUGUGCAAAGGUAGCAUAAUAAUUUGUCUUUUAAUUGAAGACUGGAAUGAAUGGUUGGACGUAAAAAUUGCUGUCUCUACUUUUUAUAUUGAAUUUUACUUUUAAGUGAAAAGGCUUAAAUUUUAUUAAGGGACGAGAAGACCCCAUCAAGUUUUAUAAAUAUAAAUAUUUAUUUUUUCGUAUAUAAUUUUUUAAUUUAUUUUUCUGGGGUGGAAAAAAUAGUAUAUCUUUUUUAAAAUUGAAUAACUAUUAAGUUUAUUAUUGAAUUUUAAUAUAAAAUAAUGUGAAUAAAUUACUGUGGGGGUAACAGCGUUAUUUCUUUUUAGAGUUCAUAUUAAUAAAGAAGAUUGCGACCUCGAUGUUGGAUUAAUUUUACCUUAUGGUGAAGAAGCUAUAAAGGUGAGUCUGUUCGACUCUUAAUAAAUUACGUGA